Molecule: ribosomal RNA, 120 nt
Filed under: uncultured bacterium
Lineage: Bacteria
Description: partial 16S ribosomal RNA
Rfam family: Bacterial small subunit ribosomal RNA
Source: RNAcentral
UCGCUUCGGGAGGGCCUCGCGGCCUAUCAGCUUGUUGGUGGGGUAACGGCCUACCAAGGCGUCGACGGGUAGCUGGUCUGAGAGGACGAUCAGCCACACUGGGACUGAGACACGGCCCAG